GCCCGCCUCCUCAGGUCCAUGUGAGCGGGGAUUACUAGGAGUGACGUCAGAGCCGGGAGAUCGCAGUGAUGGAGAGAUUGGUCUGAUGUGAAAUAGAGAUAGAGUGACAGCAUAUCCUGGAUUCCUGGAAUUGGCUCAUGUGUUUACAUGCUUGAUUAAUCUCUCGCUCUGCAAAAGGUCCUUGUCUGGACAUCUAAAGUCACCGCGGUCACAUAAUUGGCUCCGUUGUGAGACUGCCAGCUUGGAAAUGGACCCAAAGGCUUCAUCUCCGCAUAAGCAGGGCGUCAAAGGACGUUCAAAAUCCACAGAAGAGAUACAGCAGGCAAAAAAGGCUUUCCAUACACCUCAGAAAUCUCUGCCGAGUACCAGAGAGGAAAGCAAUGUGCAGGAUUCUGCUGCUACAGAUGAAAAUUCUCCAAAGACGAGAACAAGUGAAGGUCAAACGCAGAUCUGAUAUGAGGGAGUGCGUGUGAGAAAAUCAGCAAUGAGGCUUUCCAGCCUGUUAUCACUCAGUCUGUUUGUUCCUUGCUGUAACUUAGUGUACAGUAUGUGUGUGUGUGUGCCUCUUGUAGACAUGGGCACAUGUAAUGUAUGUAUAUGUUAAAUGUAUGUACCUAUCAUAUUAUUUCUAUUCUUCUGAUGAUGACCAAAAGGCUUCUGCUGGGUGUUUGAUUAUUAGAUGUCUUGAUGUUUGUCAUUACCUUAAAAACUAAAAUCUGUCCAUAUGAACUAAUUGGGACCAUUUUAACUGUAAACAGUGUAAUUUUUUAUGUACUGUUAUUUAGCAUUGGUACUUUUAUAUUGAAGAUGUUAAUUGUAUAACUACAUUAAAGAUACCUGAAAAUAUU
Rana temporaria (common frog) is the source of this 848-nucleotide long non-coding RNA. RefSeq lists it as uncharacterized. NCBI's taxonomy places the organism in Eukaryota, Metazoa, Chordata, Amphibia, Anura, Ranidae. The record is from RefSeq and is a predicted model, not a curated record. The transcript has 5 exons.